AAAUCCAUUGGGACGUUCCAGAAGGAUCAUUAACAUAAUAUUCUUACACACUGUUUUUUUACAACAAAACAAAUCUAUCUAAAAACAAUUCUUUACAAGAAAUUCUUAAAACUUUCAACAACGGAUCUCUUGGUUCUCGCAUCGAUGAAGAACGCAGCGAAAUGCGAUACGUAAUACGAAUCGCAGCUCUCGGAAUCAUCGAAUCUUUGAACGCACAUUGCACCAUUGGGUAUUCCCAAUGGUAUGCUUGUUUGAGCGAAUACUUCCCUAAUCCUCACGGAUUGUAUUGUGUUUGCACGAAAAUAAUGACGACAGUACUCUACAAAACGGUACCGUCAGUACACUCAUUUUUUUUCCUCAAAUCAAGUAGGACUACCCGCUGAACUUAAGCUUAAGAGGGGAGGAAAGAGAAAA
Molecule: ribosomal RNA, 414 nt
Filed under: Kodamaea ohmeri
Lineage: Eukaryota; Fungi; Ascomycota; Pichiomycetes; Serinales; Debaryomycetaceae
Description: eukaryotic LSU rRNA
Rfam family: 5.8S ribosomal RNA (bases 110-261)
Source: RNAcentral